CAGGGAAUAGAGCCGAAGCACUUGGAUGCACAUUUGUCUUGUUUUAUUUGGAUCUGAUUGGUCUGUGACACUGAUAAUCAGCAUACGGAUCUUCCCUUCCAGCCCUUCCCUGCUUCAGAUCAGUGUCCUUAUGACCACAAUGUCCCCAACUGAUGAUGUCACAAUGGGCCGAAGCCCACAGAGCAUACAUUGUUUCUUCGGUUUCCGGUACAUUUUAUGCGGGUUUGAGGUUGAUGCAAUGUUUUGGACCUUUGAGCUGAUUUCGUAGAUUAUAGUUUCCUUUCGGUCUUUAACUCUGUUGUACCUGCUCUUUCAGAAGCGUCUUGUUUUCAGAGAGCGUGUUUGACUUUUCGUGUUUCACUAACAUAGUAGAGAUGAGUAAUAAGGGACAGAGGGAGGUUUUGGACGCUUGUGAGUGGAAACUAGAAGACUGUUCAGAAAAGCAUAUUUCUGAAGAUCAUGUGACACUGAAGACUGGAGUAAUGAUGCUAAAGAUUCAGCUUUGAUCACAGAAAUAAAAUACAUUUUACUAUUUAUUCACAUAGCAAACAGUUAAUUGUAGUAAUAUUUCACAAAGUUAACUUUUUUUUUUUAUCAAAUAAAUGCAGCCUUGGUGAGCAGAAGAGACUUCCACAAACAUUAAGAAAUCAGCUCAAAUUGAGCUUACAUUUACAGCAUGAUGAAUGAACUGAAAGUAAAAUUGUAUCCUUUUAGACUUUUGAAUUAUUUCGCUGGUCCAGAAGAA
Molecule: long non-coding RNA, 745 nt
Organism: Carassius auratus (goldfish)
Lineage: Eukaryota; Metazoa; Chordata; Actinopteri; Cypriniformes; Cyprinidae
Exons: 3
Source: RefSeq, a predicted model, not a curated record